This 596-nucleotide ribosomal RNA is filed under the name Streptomyces sp. YIM 92307. RNAcentral's name for it is "bacterial SSU rRNA". It matches the Rfam family "Bacterial small subunit ribosomal RNA", at positions 60 to 667 of the family's 1533-position model. Lineage: Bacteria; Bacillati; Actinomycetota; Actinomycetes; Kitasatosporales; Streptomycetaceae. The record is from RNAcentral.
AGUCGAACGAUGAAGCCGCUUCGGUGGUGGAUUAGUGGCGAACGGGUGAGUAACACGUGGGCAAUCUGCCCUGCACUCUGGGACAAGCCCUGGAAACGGGGUCUAAUACCGGAUACGACCACCGGCCGCAUGGUCUGGUGGUGGAAAGCUCCGGCGGUGCAGGAUGAGCCCGCGGCCUAUCAGCUUGUUGGUGGGGUGAAGGCCUACCAAGGCGACGACGGGUAGCCGGCCUGAGAGGGCGACCGGCCACACUGGGACUGAGACACGGCCCAGACUCCUACGGGAGGCAGCAGUGGGGAAUAUUGCACAAUGGGCGCAAGCCUGAUGCAGCGACGCCGCGUGAGGGAUGACGGCCUUCGGGUUGUAAACCUCUUUCAGCAGGGAAGAAGCCUUUAAAGUGACGGUACCUGCAGAAGAAGCACCGGCUAACUACGUGCCAGCAGCCGCGGUAAUACGUAGGGUGCGAGCGUUGUCCGGAAUUAUUGGGCGUAAAGAGCUCGUAGGCGGCCUGUCACGUCGGAUGUGAAAGCCCGGGGCUUAACCCCGGGUCUGCAUUCGAUACGGGCAGGCUAGAGUUCGGUAGGGGAGAUCGGAAU